RNAcentral lists this ribosomal RNA (253 nucleotides) under uncultured bacterium. RNAcentral describes it as "partial 16S ribosomal RNA". It matches the Rfam family "Bacterial small subunit ribosomal RNA", at positions 524 to 776 of the family's 1533-position model. The record is from RNAcentral.
UACGUAGGGUGCAAGCGUUAUUCGGAAUUACUGGGCGUAAAGCGUGCGCAGGCGGUUAUGCAAGUCAGAUGUGAAAUCCCCGGGCUCAACCUGGGAACUGCAUUUGUGACUGCAUGGCUGGAGUGCGGCAGAGGGGGAUGGAAUUCCGCGUGUAGCAGUGAAAUGCGUAGAUAUGCGGAGGAACACCGAUGGCGAAGGCAAUCCCCUGGGCCUGCACUGACGCUCAUGCACGAAAGCGUGGGGAGCAAACAGG